This is a long non-coding RNA of Mytilus californianus (California mussel), 217 nucleotides long. RefSeq lists it as uncharacterized. Lineage: Eukaryota; Metazoa; Mollusca; Bivalvia; Mytilida; Mytilidae. The record is from RefSeq and is a predicted model, not a curated record. The transcript has 3 exons.
AAAAUUUAAAAAUGAUUACAAGCAUUUAUUAUUGUGAUUUUGAUAUGACCAACAACAAUUUUUGAUUAGUUUUUGCGAUUGCAGGAAAAGCUUAAUACAGAUAUAUGUAUCAGGUGUCAUGAUUAUGUAAUCGUGUGUUUUCGAACCUCAAUUUUCAAUAAGUCUCAUUGAUGUCCAAUAUUCUUGCGAACUUAGAUGCAGAGACCCAUUCAUGAAG